CCCUUGCGCAAGCGAGGGAGUGGCGGACGGGUGAGUAACACGUGGGGAUCUACCUUUCGGUGAGGAAUACCGGCGAGAAACCGCCGACAAGACCGCAUAGGUUCGGAGACGAACAAAGUCGCAAGACGCCGAAAGAUGACCCUGGGGCCGAUUAGCUAGCUGGUGGGGUAACGGCCUACCAGGGCUUCGAUCGGUAGCUGGUCUGAGAGGACGAUCAGCCACACUGGGAUUGAGAACGGCCCAGACUCCUACGGGGGGCAGCAGUGAGGAAUUUUCGUCAAUGGGGGCAACCCUGAACGAGCAACGCCGCGUGCCGGAAGAAGGUCUUCGGAUCGUAAACGGCUUUUCAAGAGGACGAGAAUGAACGGUACUUUUGGAAGAAGCCCCGGCUAACUACGUGCCAGCAGCCGCGGUAAUACGUAGGGGGCGAGCGUUGUCCGGAGUUACUGGGCGUAAAGGGCGCGCAGGCGGUCUGGGAAGUUUGGAGUGACAGUGCUCGGCUUAACUGAGCAAGGCCUUCGAAAACUCUCAGACUUGAGCACUCAAGAGGGACAUAGAAUUCCGGGUGGAGUGGUGAAAUGCGUAGAUAUCCGGAGGAAUACCAAAGGCGAAGGCAGUGUCCUGGGGAGUGUCUGACGCUCAGGCGCGAAAGCUAGGGGAGCGAACAGGAUUAGAUACCCUGGUAGUCCUAGCCGUAAACGAUGACCACCAGGUGUGCGGAGUAUCGACCCUCUGCGUGCCGGCGUUAACAUUAUAAGUGGUCCGCCUGGGAGUACGGUCGCAAGAUUAAAACUC
This 795-nucleotide ribosomal RNA is filed under the name uncultured Bacillota bacterium. RNAcentral's name for it is "bacterial SSU rRNA". It matches the Rfam family "Bacterial small subunit ribosomal RNA", at positions 69 to 902 of the family's 1533-position model. The record is from RNAcentral. Lineage: Bacteria; Bacillati; Bacillota.